RNAcentral lists this ribosomal RNA (512 nucleotides) under uncultured bacterium. RNAcentral describes it as "bacterial SSU rRNA". It matches the Rfam family "Bacterial small subunit ribosomal RNA", at positions 34 to 507 of the family's 1533-position model. The record is from RNAcentral.
CGCUGGCGGCGUGCCUAAUACAUGCAAGUCGAACGCACUCUCGUUAGAUUGAAGGAGCUUGCUCCUGAUUGAUAACAUUUGAGUGAGUGGCGGACGGGUGAGUAACACGUGGGUAACCUGCCCUAAAGUGGGGGAUAACAUUUGGAAACAGAUGCUAAUAUCGCAUAAAACCUAACACCGCAUGGUGUAGGGUUGAAAGAUGGUUUCGGCUAUCACUUUAGGAUGGACCCGCGGUGCAUUAGUUAGUUGGUGAGGUAAAGGCUCACCAAGACCGUGAUGCAUAGCCGACCUGAGAGGGUAAUCGGCCACACUGGGACUGAGACACGGCCCAGACUCCUACGGGAGGCAGCAGUAGGGAAUCUUCCACAAAGGACGAAAGUCUGAUGGAGCAACGCCGCGUGAGUGAAGAAGGUUUUCGGAUCGUAAAACUCUGUUGUUGGAGAAGAAUGUAUCUGAUAGUAACUGAUCAGGUAGUGACGGUAUCCAACCAGAAAGCCACGGCUAACUACGUG